AGUGAACGCUGGCGGUAGGCCUAACACAUGCAAGUCGAACGGAAGCACAGUAAGAGCUUGCUCUUACGGGUGGCGAGUGGCGGACGGGUGAGGAAUACAUCGGAAUCUACUUUUUCGUGGGGGAUAACGUAGGGAAACUUACGCUAAUACCGCAUACGACCUACGGGUGAAAGCAGGGGAUCUUCGGACCUUGCGCGAUUGAAUGAGCCGAUGUCGGAUUAGCUAGUUGGCGGGGUAAAGGCCCACCAAGGCGACGAUCCGUAGCUGGUCUGAGAGGAUGAUCAGCCACACUGGAACUGAGACACGGUCCAGACUCCUACGGGAGGCAGCAGUGGGGAAUAUGGGACAAUGGGCGCAAGCCUGAUCCAGCCAUACCGCGUGGGUGAAGAAGGCCUUCGGGUUGUAAAGCCCUUUUGUUGGGAAAGAAAAGCAGCAGGUUAAUACCCCGCUGUUCUGACGGUACCCAAAGAAUAAGCACCGGCUAACUUCGU
RNAcentral lists this ribosomal RNA (491 nucleotides) under uncultured bacterium. RNAcentral describes it as "partial 16S ribosomal RNA". It matches the Rfam family "Bacterial small subunit ribosomal RNA", at positions 29 to 506 of the family's 1533-position model. The record is from RNAcentral.